This 79-nucleotide microRNA precursor is filed under the name Lotus japonicus. RNAcentral describes it as "miR11119 stem-loop (lja-MIR11119)". The record is from miRBase by way of RNAcentral. Lineage: Eukaryota; Viridiplantae; Streptophyta; Magnoliopsida; Fabales; Fabaceae.
UUUUUGUGUUCGUAUCGUGACCUGUAUCGCACAUAUCGCAUGAGUAUCGCACGAUACGUAUCCCGAUAUGAUACAAAAA